RNAcentral lists this transfer RNA (69 nucleotides) under Fukomys damarensis (Damara mole-rat). It matches the Rfam family "tRNA". From Rfam's summary of the family: Transfer RNA (tRNA) molecules are approximately 80 nucleotides in length. Their secondary structure includes four short double-helical elements and three loops (D, anti-codon, and T loops). The record is from Rfam by way of RNAcentral. Lineage: Eukaryota; Metazoa; Chordata; Mammalia; Rodentia; Bathyergidae.
GGAGAUGUAGCUCAGUGGAAAAGUUCUUGCCUAGCAUGCAUGAGGCCCUAGGUUCAAUCCCUAGCACCA